Molecule: ribosomal RNA, 253 nt
Filed under: uncultured bacterium
Lineage: Bacteria
Description: partial 16S ribosomal RNA
Rfam family: Bacterial small subunit ribosomal RNA
Source: RNAcentral
UACAGAGGGUGCGAGCGUUAAUCGGAAUUACUGGGCGUAAAGCGCGCGUAGGCGGCUUUGCAAGUCGGGUGUGAAAUCCCCAGGCUUAACCUGGGAACUGCAUUCGAGACUGCAUCGCUAGAGUAUGGGAGAGGGAAGUGGAAUUUCCGGUGUAGCGGUGAAAUGCGUAGAUAUCGGAAGGAACAUCAGUGGCGAAAGCGACUUCCUGGACCAAUACUGACGCUCAUGUGCGAAAGCGUGGGGAGCAAACAGG